AGGAGGGGGCUCUGGAAGCUUCUGUCUGGUUUUCUGGACUUCACCCCAUUGCUGAUUCUGCUUUCUGUCCUUUCACUGCAAUAAACUACAACCGUGAGUGUAACGACUUCUGAAUCCUACAGAAAGGAACGCCUGCCCAAGAGCUGGAUCAGACUGCACGCACAGACACCAACAGACAACCACACAGACGUGUGAACACAUCUCCCAACGUGAGCAACCGCAGCAUAAUGGGACUCAUCCCAUCCAAAUACCCAUUUCAUCUAAAGUAUAAAAAUAAUAAAAAGAGCUGCUUGGAAAUA
Non-coding RNA from Macaca mulatta (Rhesus monkey), 299 nucleotides. Lineage: Eukaryota; Metazoa; Chordata; Mammalia; Primates; Cercopithecidae. The record is from RefSeq and is a predicted model, not a curated record.